UACGUAGGGACCAAGCGUUGUUCGGAUUUACUGGGCGUAAAGGGCGCGUAGGCGGCAAUUCAAGUCAGCUGUGAAAUCUCCGGGCUUAACUCGGAACGGUCAGCUGAUACUGCUUUGCUAGAGUGCAGAAGGGGCAAUCGGAAUUCUUGGUGUAGCGGUGAAAUGCGUAGAUAUCAAGAGGAACACCUGAGGUGAAGACGGGUUGCUGGGCUGACACUGACGCUGAGGCGCGAAAGCAUGGGGAGCGAACAGG
This 253-nucleotide ribosomal RNA is filed under the name uncultured bacterium. Its description in RNAcentral is "partial 16S ribosomal RNA". It matches the Rfam family "Bacterial small subunit ribosomal RNA", at positions 524 to 776 of the family's 1533-position model. The record is from RNAcentral.